CCAAACCUGGUUGAUCCUGCCAGUAGUCAUAUGCUUGUCUCAAAGAUUAAGCCAUGCAUGUCUAAGUAUAAGCCCUUGUACGGCGAAACUGCGAAUGGCUCAUUAAAACAGUUAUCGUUUCUUUGAUAAUCACUUACUACAUGGAUAACUGUAGUAAUUCUAGAGCUAAUACAUGCGUCAAUGCCCGACUUCACA
This 195-nucleotide ribosomal RNA is filed under the name uncultured eukaryote. Its description in RNAcentral is "partial 18S ribosomal RNA". It matches the Rfam family "Eukaryotic small subunit ribosomal RNA", at positions 1 to 193 of the family's 1831-position model. The record is from RNAcentral.